GAUGAGACGCAGCGAAAUGCGAUAAGUAAUGUGAAUUGCAGAAUUCAGUGAAUCAUCGAAUCUUUGAACGCACAUUGCGCCCCCUGGUAUUCCGGGGGGCAUGCCUGUCCGAGCGUCAUUACAACCCUCAAGCUCAGCUUGGUGUUGGGCCCCGCCGCCCCGGCGGGCCCUAAAGUCAGUGGCGGUGCCGUCCGGCUCCGAGCGUAGUAAUUCUUCUCGCUCUGGAGGUCCGGUCGUGUGCUCGCCAGCAACCCCCAAUUUUUUUCAGGUUGACCUCGGAUCAGGUAGGGAUACCCGCUGAACUUAAGCAUAUCAAUAAGCGGAGGA
RNAcentral lists this unclassified non-coding RNA (327 nucleotides) under soil metagenome. RNAcentral describes it as "partial contains 5.8S ribosomal RNA, internal transcribed spacer 2, and large subunit ribosomal RNA". The stretch from base 1 to 118 matches the Rfam family "5.8S ribosomal RNA", at positions 35 to 154 of the family's 154-position model. The record is from RNAcentral.